GCUAAGUGUGCCCUGUCUCUGUAUGGGUGGCAAUUGUACUCCUCUUGGGCUGUCACUGGUUGUUUGAAGGGGUAUGGCUGUAGACACAGCUAGUGCCAGGCUGCUUAUAUCUGGUGUAUGGAAUGAGCUGAGCCAUGCUGUCUGUGUUCCUGUGAUUUCUAGACAAGGCAAAGCAGCUGGAGCUGGUGAUAAGGAUCUGGCUGUGAUUUGGGAUCUGCAGCUUGGAGAUGGAAUUACAACACUGAUGGUCCUAAGUGCAAGCCUAAACUGUAGCACACUCCUUAGGGCUGAUCUGAGGCGAUGUUUGAAGACUGACUUACAAACCUGUGCUGGGAACGCUGCCUGGGUGGCACUCUGACAUGCAGGCAGAAGUGGAGUGCGGGUACCUUAAUGUAGUUCUGCUGAAAGCAAUGUUCAACUGUCCUGCUGCUUUUAAGCAGGGGAUUAGUGCUUACUAUUGUCUGUCCCUUUUAUUUGCAAUUCUCCUCAUGUUCAAAAUAUUUUUAUUUCAGGAUUUUUCCCUUAGUUUCCAGCCAUGUUAUCUGUAUGUUUAUACAUUUGAUUGUCCAGAGUUUUCAGUUCUGCGAUGCCCUUUACAAACUCCUAAAAAUGUCAGUGGCUAAGAUAUUGAAUUCAUGUGGGUGUUCAUUUCUUUUGUUGUUGUUUUCGUUUUCCAGUCUUAUACAUCAGCAGGAGAACUUAAUGUAUAGUGAAUCACUCCUUAGUCAUUUUAAUUAGCACGUGGUUCCUCAACUUCCCAAGUGCUGACAGCUAGUUCUUUCUGCCAUGUACCUUGUGGGACCUUGCUAUGGUGAUGCUUCAUUCUUCUGAUGCUGACUGAUGGGCUCUUGUGUCUGACUGCGACUGUUCUGUUACUGUACAAUGCUGUCCUUUCACCCCUUGCUGCUGAUUGCAGCUCUGCCAACCUGAACCCCCUCAGCUGCUGUACUUCCAGCCACCCACACUUCUCAUCCUAUGCAUGGGAGAGAUGCAGUGCAGUGCAGCACUGGAACAUGGAGUGAUCGUAAUCACAGGCACAGUGCAUACCUGCAGUGUCACUGCUGAGCUCUCACCUGCUAUGAACCAUUAAAACUGGGCGCCUAAUAUUUUUAUAGCAUUUACUCAGAUUACUCAGAUGGCAUGUAUAUGAAUAUUAAGGUAGAUAUCAGUAGUAUGUUUAUACAUACUAAUUUUAACUUUAGAGAAAGAAAUAGCAGAAUAUGAGGAACAUUAUAGAAGGGUUUUCAUUGUUAAUAAUCUAAAACUUCAGAAUUGCAGCUUUACACUUGUGUUGUAGAUUUCAUUCCAGAAAGCACUGUUGUUUUAUAGAAAAGAUCUAGCUUUAGAAGGAUUUUUAGAGAAGUUUUUGGAUGCUUAAAACUUUAGUAAUCCUGAAGACCUACAGAUUAUGUAUUGCUGUUACUGGUGAUUUUAGUUUCUUACAUUAACCAUAUUGUAUGGCUUUUCUUUUUAGAGAACAGAAAAUUGUUAAUUGUUUUUCAAAACAAUGCACAUCUUCCAGCUUCUCCUGCUACUUUAAAGUUUUCAUAUUGACUAGAAACAUACACAGCUGAAAAAGUAGCAGCAUGGAUUUAGACCUUUUCUAGAAUAUGGAAUUUUUGUGAAUUGUGUCCAUUAAAAUAUUUUAUUUACCUUAUAUCCUUCUGAACUGUUAUGGACUAGCAGCCCUUUAAGGGCGAAAAAAAUAGAAGGAAAAUUCAACCUCUAUCAUUGUUCAGUUGGCUAAAUAUAUAUAAAGCAUUUCUAGUAAAAGAAACUCCUCUAUUGAAUCUACCACAUUAAACAAACAUUUAUCCUAGCAUUUAACUCAUAGGUAACAAAUGAAGUGUAGGAAAGCCAGCGGACUCAAGUUAUUCAGUGUAGAAAGGAAGCAAGCUCUGCAGCAGAUUUAACUAAUCUACACUUCCUUGUUCUUUUGUACUUCACCACUCAUUAUCUUGUAGUAGAUAAGAAAGAGUUUAUAAUAACCUGAGCUUUAUGAAGAUGUCCAAAAAUAUUUGGCCUAUGUCACUUUUCAUCAAAAAGGAUAAAAAUCCGGCAUUUAACAUAUGCUCACUUUUUUGCACAUAUAUACCUUAGAACGUUUCAUGUUUCUAGUUUAUUAAAAGAUAGCCAUAAUAUAGUAGCAUGACCCUUUCAGUCUAUUACUCUUCAAGUUGAUUUGGUCUCAGCUUUUAUAUUAGAUGUAACAAAUACAUUUCUUCUGAAGUAUUUCUGUUCUUGCUACAUGCAGCACAUUUCACCAGUGGCUUUAAUACAUGCAAACCAAGUUAUCUAAUUUUAUUUUAAAGAUAGAGGCUUGAAUAGGAGUAUAAAACUAAGGACUUGCAAAAAUAUGAAAUUAUGUCAAAGAUUGUAAUCCACUGGCAUGUUACUUUUUAUGUAUAGCCAAGCUUUAACUUGUGCAACACAAAAAUGAUAGCUUAUAUUGUCCUUUUGAACGUGGUGCAGUCAAGGUUUUUUCCUUCUCAAACCAUACACACAAGCACACUGUUAUUACUUUUUUCCUUUCCUGCCCAAUUUGUACCCUUCAUAACAAAAUAUCAGCCUUAGCCUGCCACACAGUCAUUUCUCUGCUGUGACAGCACAGAGGAAAGAGCAAAGGGGUAGCUAGCAAGGGAAAUCCCUGACACCAGUCAACUGGCUCAAUAGAGUUCUGCCUGCAAACUGCAUGGGAAAAGAUGAAUUGUUUGCACAGAAAGAAUAGACAGAGAAGGUCAGAGAAGCUGUGGAAAACUUACUCGACUUUGUUCUCUCAAUGCGGGAUGGGAAGCUGCUAUGCAGAUCUUUCAGGAUGUAAAUCUGUAAGGUAGCACUGCAACAGCUUUCAGAGGCAGACUAAGCCAUAAAUUUUACAGGACCCCUUAUCCAUCAAACACUGGGGUAGAAAAAG
Long non-coding RNA from Numida meleagris (helmeted guineafowl), 2914 nucleotides. RefSeq lists it as uncharacterized. The record is from RefSeq and is a predicted model, not a curated record. NCBI's taxonomy places the organism in Eukaryota, Metazoa, Chordata, Aves, Galliformes, Numididae. The transcript is spliced from 4 exons.